ACAUCUCACAAAUCCUUAAGGAGGAGGCUGUGUCCCCAGAGUCCUGCAGUCGGGACAUUUGAGAAUUUGGGACCCAGUUGGAAGUGGUUGCGUAUUUCCAUUGCGUGGGAAUAUGUAAAAGG
Molecule: long non-coding RNA, 122 nt
Filed under: Pongo abelii (Sumatran orangutan)
Lineage: Eukaryota; Metazoa; Chordata; Mammalia; Primates; Hominidae
Description: lincRNA
Source: RNAcentral